Molecule: ribosomal RNA, 1717 nt
Filed under: Hygia touchei
Lineage: Eukaryota; Metazoa; Arthropoda; Insecta; Hemiptera; Coreidae
Description: SSU rRNA
Rfam family: Eukaryotic small subunit ribosomal RNA
Source: RNAcentral
AUGCAAGUCUCAGUACGAGCUUACUUAAAGUGAAACCGCAAAAGGCUCAGUAAACCGGUCAUAGUUUACCGGAUAUAUGCCACUGACGUGGAUAACUGUGGUAAUUCUAGAGCUAAUACAUGCAAACAAGUCCCGACCAGCGAUGGAGAGGACGCUUUUAUUGGAUCAAAACCAUUCGCCCGGCUUGCCCGGGCGUCGGCUUGAUGACUCUAGAUAACACCACAGAUCGCACGGUCACAGUACCGGUGACAUAUCCUUCAAAUGUCUGACUUAUCAGCUGUCGAUGGUAGACUCUGUGUCUACCAUGGCGCUCACGGGUGACGGGGAAUCAGGGUUCGAUUCCGGAGAGGGAGCCUGAGAAACGGCUACCACAUCCAAGGAAGGCAGCAGGCACGCAAAUUACCCACUCCCGGCACGGGGAGGUAGUGACAAAAAAUAACGAUACGGGACUCAUCCGAGGCCCCGUAAUCGGAAUGAGAACACCCUAAAUCCUUUAACGAGGAUCUAUUGCAGGGCAAGUCUGGUGCCAGCAGCCGCGGUAAUUCCAGCUCCAAUAGCGUAUAUUAAAGUUGUUGCGGUUAAAAAGCUCGUAGUUGGUUCUGCGUGCCACGCUGUCGGUUCACCGCCUGCCGGUGCAACUGGCAUGCCGUGGCAUGUCCUGUCGGUGGCGGAUAGGCCUCUCGGCGCGCCCUAUGCGGUAUACUUGCCGUGUAGCCGGCCGCGCCGAGUCGUCCUUGUACGCCGGCUCAAUCCUACCGCGGUGCUCUUUACCGAGUGUCGAGGUAGGCCGACACUGUUUACUUUGAACAAAUUAGAGUGCUUAAAGCAGGCUCUUAAAUCAGCCUGAAUAGUGGUGCAUGGAAUAAUGGAACAGGACCUUGGUUCUAUUUUGUUGGUUUUCGGAAUCCAAGGUAAUGAUCAAUAAGGACAGGCGGGGGCAUUCGUAUUGCGACGUUAGAGGUGAAAUUCUUGGAUCGUCGCAAGACGCACUAGAGCGAAAGCAUUUGCCAAGUAUGUCUUAAUGAUCAAGUCCGCCGACGUUCCUCCGAUGACUCGGCGGGGAGCUUUCCCCGGGAAACCAAAGCUUUUGGGUUCCGGGGGAAGUAUGGUUGCAAAGCUGAAACUUAAAGGAAUUGACGGAAGGGCACCACCAGGAGUGGAGCCUGCGGCUUAAUUUGACUCAACACGGGAAACCUCACCAGGCCCGGACAUUGGAAGGAUUGACAGAUCGAUAGCUCUUUCUCGAUUCAGUGGGUAGUGGUGCAUGGCCGUUCUUAGUUGGUGGACUGAUUUGUCUGGUUAAUUCCGAUAACGAACGAGACUCUAACCUAUUAACUAGGCGUUGCCGGUAUAAAUAGCUACCGGCGAGAUUUAUUCUUCUUAAGGGGACAGGCGGCUCUCACCCGCACGAGAUUGAACAAUAACAGGUCUGUGAUGCCCUUAGAUGUUCUGGGCCGCACGCGCGCUACACUGAAGGAAUCAGCGUGUGCUCCCCUGUCCGAAAGGUCGGGGUAACCCGCUGAACCUCCUUCGUGCUAGGAAUUGGGGCUUGCAAUUGUUCCCCAUGAACGAGGAAUUCCCAGUAAGCGCGAGUCAUAAGCUCGCGUUGAUUACGUCCCUGCCCUUUGUACACACCGCCCGUCGCUACUACCGAUUGAAUGAUUUAGUGAGGUCUUCGGACGGGCGAUAACCGGCACCGACGCUCGCUCGGUACCGA